RNAcentral lists this transfer RNA (69 nucleotides) under Fukomys damarensis (Damara mole-rat). It matches the Rfam family "tRNA". From Rfam's summary of the family: Transfer RNA (tRNA) molecules are approximately 80 nucleotides in length. Their secondary structure includes four short double-helical elements and three loops (D, anti-codon, and T loops). Further hydrogen bonds mediate the characteristic L-shaped molecular structure. tRNAs have two regions of fundamental functional importance: the anti-codon, which is responsible for specific mRNA codon recognition, and the 3' end, to which the tRNAs corresponding amino acid is attached (by aminoacyl-tRNA synthetases). tRNAs cope with the degeneracy of the genetic code in two manners: having more than one tRNA (with a specific anti-codon) for a particular amino acid; and 'wobble' base-pairing, i.e. permitting non-standard base-pairing at the 3rd anti-codon position. Lineage: Eukaryota; Metazoa; Chordata; Mammalia; Rodentia; Bathyergidae. The record is from Rfam by way of RNAcentral.
GGGGAUGUAGCUCAGCGAUACAGUGCCUGCCUGGCAAGCAUGAGGCUCUGGGUUUGAUUCCCAGUACCA